UGGGGAAUAUUGGACAAUGGGCGAAAGCCUGAUCCAGCCAUGCCGCGUGAGUGAUGAAGGCCCUAGGGUUGUAAAGCUCUUUUGUGCGGGAAGAUAAUGACGGUACCGCAAGAAUAAGCCCCGGCUAACUUCGUGCCAGCAGCCGCGGUAAUACGAAGGGGGCUAGCGUUGCUCGGAAUCACUGGGCGUAAAGGGUGCGUAGGCGGGUUUCUAAGUCAGAGGUGAAAGCCUGGAGCUCAACUCCAGAACUGCCUUUGAUACUGGAAGUCUUGAGUUCGGGAGAGGUGAGUGGAACUGCGAGUGUAGAGGUGAAAUUCGUAGAUAUUCGCAAGAACACCAGUGGCGAAGGCGGCUCACUAUACUUAAAUUGACGCUCAUGGACGAAAGCGUGGGGAGCAAACA
This 402-nucleotide ribosomal RNA is filed under the name uncultured bacterium. RNAcentral's name for it is "bacterial SSU rRNA". It matches the Rfam family "Bacterial small subunit ribosomal RNA", at positions 355 to 774 of the family's 1533-position model. The record is from RNAcentral.